This is a long non-coding RNA of Equus asinus (donkey), 1731 nucleotides long. The record is from Ensembl. NCBI's taxonomy places the organism in Eukaryota, Metazoa, Chordata, Mammalia, Perissodactyla, Equidae.
CAUGCCCAGAUGGUCCUAUUGGACCCCAGGUGGUCCUGCCAUAAAUGGAAAGACCCCAGAUGGAGGGGAAGGGAGUUCACAGCUGUCCCUAAGGCAACUUACCCUAUUCCAGAUUGAGCUUGUGGAAUCCCCAGAUGUAGCCACUUCUCUUCCUACCACAGUCAGUAGGAGGCAGCUGGUGUUGGUAUGGGAAAGCAGGAAGGUCAGAUCCCCAGGACAAGGAGAGCCUCGGCAGGCACAAGGGGCUUAUCUGACCAGUUGCCCACCCAAGAUGGACUGGCCAUGAGCAGGACUUAAGGUUCCAUAUAGGGUGCCAUAUUUGUUAUGCCCAAAGGGGGGGGUCAUCUGCCAGCCGCAAGAUGUGCCAAUAAUCAAGAGGCAAGGUGUUGGCUUCCCUUAUGUCAACCUUGAGUGGUGCAUGUAACAUGGGGACAUCGGAGCAUCCAGUCAGGCAGACGCCCUUCUGAGCGACGGAGCAGGUGGCACAUCCGAGAAAUAGCCCUGGAUGCUGUGUCUCAUUUGGCCCUUGAAGCCUGUAGGAAAAGAAGGUUCCCUCAGUUCUCCUCACGCAGCCUCAGGGGCCACACGACCCCUCACCCCUGACCUCUCCUCCCAGAGACUUCUCUCAAGUUUUCUCCACGUCCCACCCCUCAUGACUGAAGGCCCAAGUCCCUGGACACUGCCUGGAAGCCAUGCUGUUGUUGCUGGCCCUCCCACUCCUCUCAGGGGCUGCCUGCGGCACCCAUGAGACGCAGGGCCCAGGCGGCUCCUACUCCUACAUCAGGGGAGGAGCGGGGGAGACCCAGGCCAUCGGGUCUUCAUGGGGAUAAUGGGCCUCAUCAAGGGGUGAGUAAGACCCGGGGCCCUGGGCUGGGUCCCCACAUGGUCCCCGAAUGUGCUGACUCCACACUGCUUCUCCGAGGAUGCUUUCAAACCCCCGGAGCCCCUAGAGCAGGCCCUGCCCUUCCACCUCUGCUUCCUCCCGACCUCACCCCUGUGCCCUCACACUCAACCCCGUGGCCUGGCCUGAUGUACCACCCAGGGCCAGGAUGCUGGAGGGAGAGGGAACGACACAGGCUGGGGGUGAGGGGAUGGGUAGCCAGUUCUGACCGAGGCUGCUGAAAAAGCCUUGAAGUUCCCAAGGACCAGCUUCACGGUGUCAGGAUGGUGUCAUCUGGAGGAUCGCCUCUCUGGAAUUUUCUGGCUGCCUUAGGUUCCCUGGCUAGUAAACGGCAGAAACCCGCUCAGGAAGACCACCAGCGUCUCCCCCGGUUCGUCACCUGCAGCUCUGUCUCCCCCACUGCUCCUUUGCUCUGUCCUCCAGGGCCGUCUCCCCGACAGGCCCCAUCCUCACCUCGCCCACCAGCUUCUGCCUCCAGGGGCCUCUCCUUCUUCCCCAACGCCCAAGGUAUCUUGGGGUAGGGUUGCCAAACCCACUAAAUAAAUAUACAGUACAUGCAGUUAAAUUUGAAUUUCAGAUACACAUGCAUUCUUCUUAGUAUAAGUAUGUAUCAUGCAGUAUUUGUGACACAGUAAAAAAAAUCAGUAUUUGGGACAUAGUUAUACUUUUAAAAAUGCAAUGUUUGAUGUAUACUUACACAAAAAAAUUAUUUGCUAUUUCUCUGAAUUUCAAAUUUAACUGGGUGUCCUGCAUAUUAUCUGGCAACAUUCUUGGGGUGUGUCUUGCAUGUAAGAGCAGGAAGCAGCUGGCUCCAGAGUGGACUAGACCCU